This 249-nucleotide unclassified non-coding RNA is filed under the name Hevea brasiliensis (rubber tree). The record is from RNAcentral. Lineage: Eukaryota; Viridiplantae; Streptophyta; Magnoliopsida; Malpighiales; Euphorbiaceae.
GGCUGUAUAGGGAGCUAGAGGACUAAAUGAAACACAAGCAACUACAAGAAAGUAUAUAUUUGCAACCCUUCUAAAUUGUUCAAACAAUGAUUUGGGUAUGAAAUUAAUUGCUGUGUACUUUGUAGUAGAAACAUAAUUCCCUCUAUAAUUUAGCUGCACCUGUUCUGGAUUAUCAGGAUCAUUACAAUACACAAUCCUUGAAAAACCCCUCUUCCCAAUUUGACCAUGUUCCUCUUUAAACGAACACUU